UGAAAGUGAAAAGUGAAAGUGAAUUCACUCAGUUGUGUCCGACUCUAAGCGACCCCAUGGACUGCAGCCUACCAGGCUCUUCUGUCCAUGGGAUUUUCCAGGCAAGAGUACUGGAGUAGGGUGCCAUUGCCUUCUCUGAAUGGUUGCAUAUAACCUACCUAAUACCAUUAAUACCUAACACAAUGUAAAUGAAAUGUAAAUAGCAGGCCAGGCAUGGGGCAAAUUCAAGUUUUGGUUUUGGGAACUUUCUGGAUUUUUUUUCCUGAAUAUUUUCUAUUGGUGGUUAGAGGAACCUGCAGGUCCAGAGCUCCUGGAGCUUGUCCAGACUCUGUAAUUGUACUGGGUGAUGUCCUAUGCCCUCAUCUACCCCUGAAAGCAGGGACCGCAUGUUAGGUACUCUUAGUCCCUUUCCUGGGGCAGGACCCCUACUGUAGUGGCCUGGUAAAUAGUUGUUGGUUUGCUAAAUGUCUUUUGGGAUUUGUGGGUUUGGUUUCUUCUCUAGCUGAUGCUGCCCAACCUCCUGGGUAUUGUGUCUGUGGGGCUCAGGGUCACCCUGGAAAGUGGAGUGCUGGUCAAGGCACCCUGACCAGCCUUGAGGUCAAGAAUAAAGGGCUUAGUGAAGGCAACUCCUAUAGGCUUGGCCUCAGAGGGGUUAUUGUGAACAUUUUACCAAAAGUCUGGAUGAAUGGGAGCUGGUGUCACACUUCCCAGAUUCAAAUCUUGGCUAAAAUGACUCCUUAGUGAAUUGGAAUAAACUGCCUCACUUUUUCAUCUGUUAAAUGGGGAUAAACGUAGCAGUUACUUCACAGGAUGCUUUUGUGGAUUAGGUGAGUUACACUGGACUUUAAAGCAUUGCUUCCUGGUGGCUCAGAGGUUAAAGUGUCUGCCUGCAAUGUGGGAGACCUGGGUUCGAUCCCUGGCUCGGAAGAUCCCUGGAGAAGGAAAUGGCAACCCACUCCAGUAUUCUUGCCUGGAGAAUCCCAUAGACGGAGGAGCCUGGUGGGCUACAGUCCACGGGGUUGCAAAGAGUCGGACAGGACUGAGUGACUUCGCUUCUUUAAAGCAUUAGGACAGGGCCUGGCCUGUGCUAUGUGUCCAAUCCGUGUUGGUUGGUAGCCACAGAGAGUGGGUGUUACCUGUGGUCCUGACAGCAUCAAUCCCAUCUGUUAAGUCCCUGUCACUUUGCACAGAGGGAUAAGCAUGUGAGUGAAGACUGUCGUGGCUUGGCUGCUCACGUCUUGGUUUCAUUUAUUACAGGAACCCAUCAGUUUUAUUUUUCUUAGGUAGCCAGUCUUUCCAAAUCCCAAGGGCCCUGGUGGAAUUGUCAUUUGAACUGAUGUGUCAGAUGCAUUUAGACGUCCGAUGGGUUUCUUCUUAUCUUGAAGCUGAUACAUUUUUAUAAAUCAUCAGCUCCAGUGUCCUUUCAAGCUACAGAGGAUAUGCUUUUUGUGUUAAGCUGCAGAAUGACUUUUCCCCAUUCACAGUGGAGCACUGACUUCCGAGCUCUGUAAAUGGGUUCAACAUACGUAUUAUUGGAGCAACAAGGUGAAGCUUUCACUGGAGCUUAUAUGAUUCUUUGGAACUCUGUGUUAUAAGACUUUACAUUGAUACUUCAGGUAUUCCUAACAGUGUCUAAGCAGUAAGCAUGACAUACAUACACAUAAUAUAGACCUGUGAGCCUUUUCUUCCUUUACCUUCAAAUAUUUAAAUUUUUAUUGGAAUAUAGUUGAUUUACAAUGUUAUGUUCAUUUUUCAUUUUAGAAAAUGAUAAGUGAACCCUGGUGUGCUGCAGUCCAUGGAUUGCAAAAAUCAGACACAACUGAGCGACUGAACAACAACAAAAAUAAGUGUCAUUUUAGAAAACUUACACAAAUAAUUUUUCAGUCACAUAUAAUUCUACCACCCAGAGCUAACCACUGUUAACAACCUCUUUUUCUGUGUGUGUGUGUGUGUAAAUAUUGCUUUUACAGAAUGUGAUCAGGCCAAUGGGUAACACAACAUCUGUACCUUUUAAAGCUGUAGGAGGUUGUUGAUGUAGGUAUGUUUUUGAACAUGCUGCAAUUUGGCUAUAGUUGCACACAAUGACCAUUAAUCUAACUUUAUAAAAAUAAAGGAGUUUCUGAAAUAAAAAGUAGGAUCAGGCUGAACAUACUGUUUAAUAUUUUGUUGUCAUUUAGUUGCUCAGUCGUGUUCGACUCUCUGCGACCCUGUGGACUGCAGCACACCAGGCUUCUUGGUCCUUCACCAUUUCCUGGAGUCCACUCAAUCUCAUGUCCAUUGGAUGCCACCCAACCAUCUCAUGCACUGUCACCCCUUCUCCUUUUGCCUUCAGUCUUUCCCAGAAUCAGGGUCUUUCCCAGUGAGUCAGCUCUUUGCAUCAGGUGCCCAAAGUACUGGAGUUUCAGCUUCAGCCCUUCCAAUGUAUAUUCGGGUUGAUUUCCUUCAAGAUUGACUGGUUUGAGCUCGUUGCUGUCCAAGAGAUUCUCAACAGUCUUCUAGCACUACAGUUCAAAAGCAUUAAUUCUUCAGCCAGCCUUCUUUAUGGUCCAACUUUCACAUCCAUACAUGACUAGUGGAAAACCAUAGCUUUAACUAUAUGGCAUUUCUUCAUGCUAUAAAUAUUUUUCUGCACUAUUAAAAGUCUUAAGAAUAACCUCCUUUUCAUUCCCUGUUCAUUAUAGGAAAGUUAAUUUAGUAAAUAACAAGAAGAAAAUUUUUAAGUUCCCAUAAUCUAACCAUUCAGAGGUAGCUAUCAGUAGUUGGGUGUAUGUCCCUUAGACUUUGUUUUGAGUUUGUGUAUUAAAAAAAAAUUUAGUAUUGUUUUUGUUCAUCUGCUUUUCUUUGUCUCUUGACUGUUGAUCUGUGUAAACCACUGAAAAUGGAUGUAUAGUAUUCUUUUCUAAAACUUAUUGAAGUGUAGUUGAUUUAGUGUUGUGUUAAUUUCUGCUGUAGAGCAAAGGGACUCAGUUAUACAUACAUAUAUGCAUUCUUUUGCAUAUUCUUUUCCAUUAUAGUUUAUCACAUGAUAUUGGAUAUAGUUCCUGCACUAUAAUAGGACUUUGUUGUCCAUUCAUUCUACAAAUAAUAGUUUGCAUCUGCUAAUUGCAAACUCCCAAUCCACCCUCUCCUACCUCCCGGCUUGACAACCACAAGUCUGUUCUCUGAGAGUCUGUUUGCUUCAUAGAUAUAUGCCUUUGUCCUUUAAAUGCCACAUAUAAAUGUUAUCAUGUGACACUUGUCUUUCUCUU
Long non-coding RNA from Bos grunniens (domestic yak), 3248 nucleotides. The record is from Ensembl. NCBI's taxonomy places the organism in Eukaryota, Metazoa, Chordata, Mammalia, Artiodactyla, Bovidae.